GACGAACGCUGGCGGCGUGCCUAAUACAUGCAAGUCGAACGCACAGUUUAUACCGUAGCUUGCUACACCAUAGACUGUGAGUUGCGAACGGGUGAGUAACGCGUAGGUAACCUGCCUGGUAGCGGGGGAUAACUAUUGGAAACGAUAGCUAAUACCGCAUAAUAUUAAUUAUUGCAUGAUAAUUAAUUGAAAGGUGCAAUUGCACCACUACCAGAUGGACCUGCGUUGUAUUAGCUAAUAGGUGAGGUAACGGCUCACCUAGGCGACGAUACAUAGCCGAGCUGGGAGGGUGGUCGGCCACACUGGGACUGAGACACGGCCCAGACUCCUAAGGGAGGCAGCAGUAGGGAAUCUUCGGAAAUGGACGAAAGUCUGACCGAGCAACGCCGGGGGAGUGAAGAAGGUUUUCGGAUCGUAAAGCUCUGUUGUAAGAGAAGAACGGGUGUGAGAGUGGAAAGUUCACACUGUGACGGUAUCUUACCAGAAAGGGACGGCUAACUACGUG
This 505-nucleotide ribosomal RNA is filed under the name uncultured bacterium. Its description in RNAcentral is "partial 16S ribosomal RNA". It matches the Rfam family "Bacterial small subunit ribosomal RNA", at positions 28 to 507 of the family's 1533-position model. The record is from RNAcentral.